RNAcentral lists this ribosomal RNA (1500 nucleotides) under uncultured prokaryote. Its description in RNAcentral is "partial 16S ribosomal RNA". It matches the Rfam family "Bacterial small subunit ribosomal RNA". The record is from RNAcentral.
AGAGUUUGAUCCUGGCUCAGAAUGAACGCUGGCGGCGUGCUUAACACAUGCAAGUCGAACGAUGAAGCCUAGCUUGCUAGGUGGAUUAGUGGCGCACGGGUGAGUAAUAUAUAGAUAACGUGCCUCUUAGUCUGGGAUAGCCAUUGGAAACGAUGAUUAAUACUAGAUACUCCUUCUGAUUAUAAUUUCAGUCGGGAAAGUUUUUCGCUAAGAGAUCGGUCUAUAUCCCAUCAGCUUGUUGGUAGUGUAAGAGACUACCAAGGCAAUGACGGGUAGCGGGUUUGAGAGGAUGAUCCGCCACACUGGUACUGAGACACGGACCAGACUCCUACGGGAGGCAGCAGUGGGGAAUAUUGCACAAUGGAGGAAACCCUGAUGCAGCAAUACCGCGUGUGUGAAGAAGGCCUGAGGGUUGUAAAGCACUUUCAAUAGGGACGAAAAGCCUAAGUUUAAUACGCUUGGGUCUUGACUUAACCUAUACAAGAAGCACCGGCUAACUCCGUGCCAGCAGCCGCGGUAAUACGGAGGGUGCAAGCGUUAAUCGGAAUUACUGGGCGUAAAGCGCACGUAGGUGGUUUAUUAAGUCAGAUGUGAAAGCCCCGGGCUCAACCUGGGAACUGCAUUUGAAACUGGUAAGCUAGAGUAUGGUAGAGGUAAGUGGAAUUCCAGGUGUAGCGGUGAAAUGCGUAGAGAUCGGAAGGAACAUCAGUGGCGAAGGCGGCCACCUGGACAGAUACUGACGCUGAGGCACGAAAGCGUGGGGAGCAAACGGGAUUAGAUACCCCGGUAGUCCACGCCCUAAACGAUGAACACUAGUCGUCGGGAUGCUUGUCAUCUCGGUGAUGCACUUAACAGAUUAAGUGUUCCGCCUGGGGAGUACGGUCGCAAGAUUAAAACUCAAAGGAAUAGACGGGGACCCGCACAAGUGGUGGAGCAUGUGGUUUAAUUCGAAAAUACGCGAAGAACCUUACCUAGCCUUGACAUUGAUAGAACGGACCAGAGAUGGACCAGUGCCCUUCGGGGAGCUUGAAAACAGGUGCUGCACGGCUGUCGUCAGCUCGUGUCGUGAGAUGUUGGGUUAAGUCCCGCAACGAGCGCAACCCUCGUCCUUAGUUGCCAGCAGGUUAUGCUGGGCACUCUAAGGAGACUGCCUUCGUAAGGAGGAGGAAGGUGAGGACGACGUCAAGUCAUCAUGGCCCUUACGGCUAGGGCUACACACGUGCUACAAUGGGGCGUACAGAGAGUUGCGAUACCGCGAGGUGGAGCCAAUCUCAUAAAGCGUCUCUCAGUUCGGAUUGGAGUCUGCAACUCGACUCCAUGAAGCUGGAAUCACUAGUAAUCGUAGAUCAGCAAUGCUACGGUGAAUACGUUCCCGGGUCUUGUACUCACCGCCCGUCACACCAUGGGAGUUGAUUUCACCCGAAAUUGGGAAGCUAACCUUCGGGGGGCUACCACUUACGGUGGAAUUAGCGACUGGGGUGAAGUCGAAACAAGGUAACC